GCCCUGUGUAUAAGGGUGCUGAGCGCCAUUUUUGGCCCUUCGAGCACCGCGCCGACUUUGAACUGAGGUGACUGAGAAAGGGAGGGUCUGGAAGAUAUCAAAGACCUUAAUUAUCAAGAAUCGAGAGGGUGUUCAUCAUUCACCUGAGAAGCGUCUUCCUACAUAUGGCCUACCAUCCACACCAGAACACUCAGGUGGCCUUUGGCGGUAAAAAAUAUUCUGGACCUGUAGCUGAUUUUGCUUCCCGGGUAA
Long non-coding RNA from Eriocheir sinensis (Chinese mitten crab), 252 nucleotides. RefSeq lists it as uncharacterized. Lineage: Eukaryota; Metazoa; Arthropoda; Malacostraca; Decapoda; Varunidae. The record is from RefSeq and is a predicted model, not a curated record. The transcript has 2 exons.